RNAcentral lists this long non-coding RNA (99 nucleotides) under dengue virus type 2. RNAcentral's name for it is "Dengue virus type 2 partial sfRNA4". The stretch from base 6 to 77 matches the Rfam family "Flavivirus DB element". From Rfam's summary of the family: These DB elements are thought to be required for efficient translation. Lineage: Riboviria; Orthornavirae; Kitrinoviricota; Flasuviricetes; Amarillovirales; Flaviviridae. The record is from RNAcentral.
ACAAUGGGGGCCCAAGGUGAGAUGAAGCUGUAAUCUCACUGGAAGGACUAGAGGUUAGAGGAGACCCCCCCGAAAUAAAAAACAGCAUAUUGACGCUGG